Molecule: ribosomal RNA, 200 nt
Filed under: uncultured bacterium
Lineage: Bacteria
Description: partial 16S ribosomal RNA
Rfam family: Bacterial small subunit ribosomal RNA
Source: RNAcentral
GACGAACCGUGCGAACGUUGUUCGGAAUCACUGGGCUUAAAGGGCGCGUAGGCGGGCGGCCAAGUCCGGGGUGAAAUCCUCCAGCUCAACUGGAGAAUGGCCUCGGAUACUGGUUGCCUCGAGUGAGGUAGGGGCGUGCGGAACUGAUGGUGGAGCGGUGAAAUGUGUUGAUAUCAUCAGGAACUCCGGUGGCGAAGGCG